AUUGAACGCUGGCGGCAUGCCUUACACAUGCAAGUCGAACGGCAGCACGGGAGCAAUCCUGGUGGCGAGUGGCGAACGGGUGAGUAAUAUAUCGGAACGUGCCCAGUCGUGGGGAUAACGUAGCGAAGCUACGCUAAUACCGCAUACGAUCUACGGAUGAAAGCGGGGGAUCGCAAGACCUCGCGCGAUUGGAGCGGCCGAUAUCAGAUUAGGUAGUUGGUGAGGUAAAGGCUCACCAAAGCCGACGAUCUGUAGCUGGUCUGAGAGGACGACCAGCCACACUGGGACUGAGACACGGCCCAGACUCCUACGGAGGCAGCAGUGGGAA
This 328-nucleotide ribosomal RNA is filed under the name uncultured bacterium. Its description in RNAcentral is "bacterial SSU rRNA". It matches the Rfam family "Bacterial small subunit ribosomal RNA", at positions 30 to 360 of the family's 1533-position model. The record is from RNAcentral.